This 468-nucleotide ribosomal RNA is filed under the name uncultured bacterium. Its description in RNAcentral is "partial 16S ribosomal RNA". It matches the Rfam family "Bacterial small subunit ribosomal RNA", at positions 28 to 507 of the family's 1533-position model. The record is from RNAcentral.
GACGAACGCUGGCGGCGUGCUUAACACAUGCAAGUCGAACGGAAAGGCCCUGCUUUUGUGGGGUGCUCGAGUGGCGAACGGGUGAGUAACACGUGAGUAACCUGCCCUUGACUUUGGGAUAACUUCAGGAAACUGGGGCUAAUACCGGAUAGGAGCUCCUGCUGCAUGGUGGGGGUUGGAAAGUUUCGGCGGUUGGGGAUGGACUCGCGGCUUAUCAGCUUGUUGGUGGGGUAGUGGCUUACCAAGGCUUUGACGGGUAGCCGGCCUGAGAGGGUGACCGGCCACAUUGGGACUGAGAUGCGGCACAGACUCCUACGGGAGGCAGCAGUGGGGAAUAUUGCACAAUGGGCGGAAGCCUGAUGCAGCAACGCCGCGUGCGGGAUGACGGCCUUCGGGUUGGAAACCGCUUUCGCCUGUGACGAAGCGUGAGUGACGGUAAUGGGUAAAGAAGCACCGGCUAACUACGUG